GAGGUAUGCUGUCAAGGACCUAUGGUCGU
RNAcentral lists this small RNA (29 nucleotides) under Bombyx mori (domestic silkworm). Its description in RNAcentral is "ovarian small RNA-5183". Lineage: Eukaryota; Metazoa; Arthropoda; Insecta; Lepidoptera; Bombycidae. The record is from RNAcentral.